Molecule: ribosomal RNA, 459 nt
Filed under: uncultured bacterium
Lineage: Bacteria
Description: partial 16S ribosomal RNA
Rfam family: Bacterial small subunit ribosomal RNA
Source: RNAcentral
CCUACGGAGGCAGCAGUGAGGAAUAUUUGUCAAUGGGCGCGAGCCUGAACCAGCCAAGUAGCGUGAAGGAUGACUGCCCUACGGGUUGUAAACUUCUUUUAUUAAGGAAUAAAGUGAGGCACGUGUGCCUUUUUGUAUGUACUUUAUGAAUAAGGAUCGGCUAACUCCGUGCCAGCAGCCGCGGUAAUACGGAGGAUCCGAGCGUUAUCCGGAUUUAUUGGGUUUAAAGGGAGCGUAGAUGGGUUGUUAAGUCAGUUGUGAAAGUUUUCGGCUCAACCGUGAAAUUGCAAUUGAUACUGUCGGUCUUGAGUACAGUUGAGGUAGGCGGAAUUCGUGGUGUAGCGGUGAAAUGCUUAGAUAUCACGAAGAACUCCGAUUGCGAAGGCAGCUUACUAAACUGGAACUGACAUUGAUGCUCGAAAGUGUGGGUAUCAAACAGGAUUAGAUACCCUUGUAGUC